This 1435-nucleotide ribosomal RNA is filed under the name Salmonella enterica. Its description in RNAcentral is "partial 23S ribosomal RNA". It matches the Rfam family "Bacterial large subunit ribosomal RNA", at positions 1520 to 2925 of the family's 2925-position model. The record is from RNAcentral. Lineage: Bacteria; Pseudomonadati; Pseudomonadota; Gammaproteobacteria; Enterobacterales; Enterobacteriaceae.
GUAGGUGUGUGUUCCAGGUAAAUCCGGUUCACUUUAACACUGAGGCGUGAUGACGAGGCACUACGGUGCUGAAGCAACAAAUGCCCUGCUUCCAGGAAAAGCCUCUAAGCAUCAGGUAACAUCAAAUCGUACCCCAAACCGACACAGGUGGUCAGGUAGAGAAUACCAAGGCGCUUGAGAGAACUCGGGUGAAGGAACUAGGCAAAAUGGUGCCGUAACUUCGGGAGAAGGCACGCUGACACGUAGGUGAAGUGAUUUACUCAUGGAGCUGAAGUCAGUCGAAGAUACCAGCUGGCUGCAACUGUUUAUUAAAAACACAGCACUGUGCAAACACGAAAGUGGACGUAUACGGUGUGACGCCUGCCCGGUGCCGGAAGGUUAAUUGAUGGGGUCAGCGCAAGCGAAGCUCCUGAUCGAAGCCCCGGUAAACGGCGGCCGUAACUAUAACGGUCCUAAGGUAGCGAAAUUCCUUGUCGGGUAAGUUCCGACCUGCACGAAUGGCGUAAUGAUGGCCAGGCUGUCUCCACCCGAGACUCAGUGAAAUUGAACUCGCUGUGAAGAUGCAGUGUACCCGCGGCAAGACGGAAAGACCCCGUGAACCUUUACUAUAGCUUGACACUGAACAUUGAGCCUUGAUGUGUAGGAUAGGUGGGAGGCUUUGAAGUGUGGACGCCAGUCUGCAUGGAGCCGGCCUUGAAAUACCACCCUUUAAUGUUUGAUGUUCUAACGUGGACCCGUGAUCCGGGUUGCGGACAGUGUCUGGUGGGUAGUUUGACUGGGGCGGUCUCCUCCUAAAGAGUAACGGAGGAGCACGAAGGUUGGCUAAUCCUGGUCGGACAUCAGGAGGUUAGUGCAAUGGCAUAAGCCAGCUUGACUGCGAGCGUGACGGCGCGAGCAGGUGCGAAAGCAGGUCAUAGUGAUCCGGUGGUUCUGAAUGGAAGGGCCAUCGCUCAACGGAUAAAAGGUACUCCGGGGAUAACAGGCUGAUACCGCCCAAGAGUUCAUAUCGACGGCGGUGUUUGGCACCUCGAUGUCGGCUCAUCACAUCCUGGGGCUGAAGUAGGUCCCAAGGGUAUGGCUGUUCGCCAUUUAAAGUGGUACGCGAGCUGGGUUUAGAACGUCGUGAGACAGUUCGGUCCCUAUCUGCCGUGGGCGCUGGAGAACUGAGGGGGGCUGCUCCUAGUACGAGAGGACCGGAGUGGACGCAUCACUGGUGUUCGGGUUGUCAUGCCAAUGGCACUGCCCGGUAGCUAAAUGCGGAAGAGAUAAGUGCUGAAAGCAUCUAAGCACGAAACUUGCCCCGAGAUGAGUUCUCCCUGAGACUUUAGGUCUCCUGAAGGAACGUUGAAGACGACGACGUUGAUAGGCCGGGUGUGUAAGCGCAGCGAUGCGUUGAGCUAACCGGUACUAAUGAACCGUGAGGCUUAACCUUACA